Small nuclear RNA from Ictidomys tridecemlineatus (thirteen-lined ground squirrel), 104 nucleotides. Lineage: Eukaryota; Metazoa; Chordata; Mammalia; Rodentia; Sciuridae. The record is from Ensembl.
CAAGCAACAGCACUCGCUUUGGAAACACUGGAAUAAUACAGAGAAGAUUAACAUGGCCCCUGUGCAAGGAUGACAUGCAAAUUUGUGAAGCAUUCCAUAUUUUU